CUCUUUCUUUCUCUCUCUCUCUUUCCCUUCCCCAAAGUUAAAAUGACAUUCCUGUCUCAGUUCGCUAUUCGUUGUAUGCUUCUACUCCUUUCCUCUUCUAUCUGAUCUGUUAGCGUCAAGUUGUCUAGUCUACUUUCUUUAUAAUGUGUCAAUGCAACUGAAGUUGUCUCCUCCAGACGCAUUUAAUUAAGCUGCAUUCUUUUCUAGCUCUUUAUAGUGCCAUUGCAUUUGUAACGUGGUCUUUCCUUUCUAAAUGAAAUAGUCUUCAAUUUGUUCAACAUAUUCAUUCAAUUCUCCUUCUAUCUCAAAUACUGAAACGAUCAAGUCAUUAUAAAUCUAUUUGCAUGUUGACAUUGAGUUUAUCAACAUUUAUGAUUUGCUGAAUACCAGUUGUUGUCACCUUUGUAAAUUUUCUCCAUUUUUCUAGUUAACCAAGCAGCUGUCACUUUUGUUUAAAAAUGGCUGUUAGGGAAACAGACAUUUCAUUUGGAACAUUCUCGUGUAUCUCUUCGUGAUUAUCUGGAGAAAUAGGCUAUUUUUAGAUUAGCUUAAGAUACAGACACAAUUUGAACACGAGCUUUAAAAAGCCAAAGAUCUUUCUUAUUAAUUAUUCUCUCAGUCACUCAAUUCUUCCACAUGCAUGAAUUAUUAACAAGGAAUUUGAAUAGUUACUUCGCGGAGAUCUUUAUAAAUCUGAUGUUCUUGUGUCAUGAAGAUAGCAACAUUAACAGAUGUCGGAACAUGAAGAUAAAGAAAAUAGUUUCUUAAAAAGACACUUGAAGAAGCAAGGCGGUGGUUGAGUCAAAAACCCAGGACCCUGCUUGACGAAUAAGAAGUGAUUGGCGACGUGUGAUCGACUCUAUAAAUUGCAAUUGUUUGGAUCGUAAGAUUCUGAAUUGUUUCUUUUACUUUUUAUUCCUCACUUGAAGCAAGAUCCUGACGAGCAUUAAAGACUGCCCGACUGUCGCCAGAUUAGUGAUUUUCAAAUUGUUAUGGAAUUACACUUUUCCGUAGAAAUGCUUUGAAUACUGGGAACUCGAAAACAUUAUCUAUCUGGAGUUUCAGCUAAACGGUUUUGGCAAUGAAUGCAUUUUACCAAGCAAGUUACUUUUUAUCUGAGCUUAUCGCAUUAACUGGAAUCAUCUUGAAUGCGUCUCAAAUCGUAAAAACACUACAGACUAAAGGAAAGAAAUCGGCUUUUGAGCUCACUAUCCUUAGCCUAUCAACUGCAGAUUUUUUGAGUUCAAUCUUUACUGUCUCUCAUAUUGUUUAUUGGCAUUUGAAGGACAACUAUUUGGCAUCACACAAACCUAGUUUAGAUUUUGUAUCUCAAAUUGGCUUGCAAUUUGGGAUUCUUUCAUCGAUAUUUCACUUAGUGUUUAUCGCAACGCAGCGCACCUUUGCUGCCGUUUCGCCUCUAAAAUUUCGCCUGCAUUUCACGAUCAGUUUUUGCAACGGCUGCUUGGUCGUAAUUUGGGCCCUUUCUUUCGGGUUAAGUGCUGUUAAUGUUUUUGCAAUCACGAAGGCAGAUAUUAUCGGCUAUUUCUGCGUUAUUUCAGAGGCGUCUCUACUCGUUACAUACACUAUAACUUGCUAUAUUAUCAAGAGGCAAAACAGAAUGGCCAGAGUAUUGUCAAGCCGGAGCCACACAAGGAAAUCAACAGUACGAGCUGCAUUUCUUCAUUCAAUAUCUGUUACUUUUGCCUUCAUUUUGUGCACGUUGCCCGCCGCUCUCUUCCAUAUCAACGUCCUUAAGAGAGUAAGUUCCACCGACUAUUUGUAUGAAUGGGUUCGUUGGAUGUUCUACAUGAACCCUACCCUUGACUCUGUCCUUUACUUUUAUUUCAAGAGAAAGCAAAUAACAACACCUCAGUUCUUGUACAGUUUUACCGGGCAACACUCUAGCUUCUACAACCUAGAAAACGCAAGAAGACAGGCAUCGAAGGAGAGCUUUUUGAGCAGUAAGUAUAAGCUGAAGCACUCGCAUUGGAACGCUGCAAUGGAGCAGGAGACAUCAAAACUUUGAUAUUUUGAUGCAUUAAUAAGGGGAUAUGACAGGCUAUUAUCAUCUGUAACCAACGUCGUUCGCUCAAUGCAAAUUUAGGUUCGAUUCGAUUCCUGUUUCUGCUAUCGAGUGCUGAAAAAGCCAUAUAAAGCGACUUCUAAGUCAUGUUAGCAGAACAACCGAUGCCUGCAAUGGGAUUCAAAAACACGAACUUCUUCAACUUUUACAUUUACAGUAAUCAAGUUUCAAAUGACUCUCUGAGUAGUUCUAUGUGAUACGUGAAGAAUUUUGAAAUAAAAGCCAUCUGACUUUUUACUUUGAAAUGUCAAUGCCGAAGACUUACGUGAGAUUAUCAGAGAACAAUUUUCAUUUUGGUUUGUUUAAAACCAUAAAAGACUUAGAACGAAAAACAAUCUUCUAUCACAGACUUGUAAACUUGCAAAUCAUUUGCUUCGUCUAAUUACUUGUUGAUUCUUUCUUAACAGUUCGACGCCUAAAUUUAUCUUAAAUCUAAAGCUUAAAAAUGUGUUUUAGAUUAUUCAAUUUCUCCGAUGUAUGAAAUUUAGCCGUAGCGGUAUGAAAUCUUAAAACAAGACUAUCUAAUUGAUUGGUGAAACAAUUUCAGAUAUUUUUAGAUUUUUUGCGCAAUCGACGUAUAUAAACGAAAUCUCAGCUUUUAUUUGCUUUUUCUAGUGCACUGUUGUGCAACAUAAUCAAAUUUUGAAUUUAGCUCUGUAUUUGCAGAAUUUUAACAUGAAUGUUUGGAGAGUGUUAGAAAAAAGCGCAAUAUAAUACUUAUAUGUGUAGCCAUUCUGAUUUAUUAUGUAAAAAGCGGACGAAAUUUUAUUGUAAAUCAAUUAUUUUCAAUACUAGUGCGCAAAUAAGAUUUAAUCAAAUUUCAUUUUGAAUGUGCCCUUCCUAGAAAAUAAACGUGGAGUGGUUCAUUGAUAUAAGGAAAUUUGUUCGGAGGAAUCAGGCUCAUUUUUGUUGAUAUUCCUAACGUUAAAAAAUUAGAAGAAACUGAUGAAACACCAAGCGGCAUCAUGAUGCAACACCGACCGGCACGAAGCACGAUACAGCAUUCUGUUACUUUGUAACCAGGAGUGUAAUGCUUGGGGGCUAUGGGGGGCUAAGCCCCACUUGUUAAUGCCAAAAAUUUGCAAACUUUUACUUUUGCUAUUCUCUUUCGCAACAUUUUAUGCAAGAGCACCCCUUGUUUUUUGAUAGCACUACACCACUGUUUGUAACCUACUUUGUUUUAAGUAAUUUUUUGCAGAGUAUGUUUGUGUAGCCCACUUCUGUCCUUUCCUUUUAUCCCCUGUAUAUAUAUAUGCUGUCGUAAUUAGUGAGUGAAGUUUAGAGACUUGUACUGCUAAAUAGUUUAAAGAAAGCUACCCGUGUAGCGAGAGCUCUUGCGACAAAGCUAAUAGCUGAAUAAGAUUUAAUUUAUAUUUGGCAUAUUUAGGACAAGCAGUCUCGCAAAGGACUGCGCUGUGCCUCGUUAAAACGCUGCGAGCAAAACAAGGGAGCCUACGCCCUUAUCGCUUUAUCAAUGCGAGAUUGAAGCAUUCAUUACCAUCUUGUUGAAGGCCCGUUGUACCUACAUUUCAAACUGCAUUUGGAUACAUUCCCACCUUACUCAAUGAAUACAACGUUGCGGAUACAAGCAGUGAUCACCCCAACUGUGGACAUUG
Non-coding RNA from Rhopilema esculentum, 3699 nucleotides. NCBI's taxonomy places the organism in Eukaryota, Metazoa, Cnidaria, Scyphozoa, Rhizostomeae, Rhizostomatidae. The record is from RefSeq and is a predicted model, not a curated record.